CAAACAGCUACAACUAUGGCUCACUUGUUUUAAAAUGUGCGAAUUUAGCAUGAUUACAGCCUGUCGUUGUCUCAACAGAUCAGGCAAGAUUUUGUCCAUGCACUCUUCCUGAAGCACUGAGCCUAUUCCUUAUUCAGCCCAUGAAAACAGCUUGGGAGCCUCUGCUGUGAGCGAGUGACGCAUGAUUGGGUGGUUGUACAGAAAUCUGUAGUGGUCAUGUGACCAAUGAGUUUAGAGGUCAACAUGGAUCACAAUGGCUACCAAUCAGGGCUAGUACUAUUACCUUGAUCCAGAGAGAAAAUUAGCUGAAAUUCAUCGGCAGUAAAGAACAUGUGGAGAGGCAGCUUCUAGCCCGGUCCCAAACAACUGGAAUAUUUCCCAUGACUGUCAGGAGAAGGAGCGAAGGCAAACAGAGGACAGAGUCAUGGAAUGCUUGAGACUGUCUUAUCUGAGAGAAAAAAGGAAUUCAUGCAAAACCAGCAAGAUAUCCUGCUGCAAAUGAAAAACCUGAAUGAAGAGAGGCUGAGACUUUGGCAAGCCAGAGAGAGGAUUAAGGAGAAUCGAGCCUUCAGUAAUGGUUAUUCCCCCUUACCUUCUCCAGUUUACAGUCUGAAUGGAGCUGAGCAUGGAUUUCGUGACGAUGAGACGUUUUCCUUCCAUGAGACAGGCUCCUCACCUCGUGAAAUGGAGUCGUUCAUUUCUGAACGGAAAAGGAAGUUACCUCUUGAAGCUCGUGCUUUUUUCUC
Molecule: long non-coding RNA, 746 nt
Organism: Liolophura sinensis
Lineage: Eukaryota; Metazoa; Mollusca; Polyplacophora; Chitonida; Chitonidae
Exons: 7
Source: RefSeq, a predicted model, not a curated record